Molecule: non-coding RNA, 110 nt
Organism: Acanthosepion pharaonis
Lineage: Eukaryota; Metazoa; Mollusca; Cephalopoda; Sepiida; Sepiidae
Source: the annotation of a GenBank genome assembly
GGCCGCAUCACGUUGACAUGUUGGUUUCUGUACGAUCACCGAAAUUAAGCAACGACGAGCCUGGUCAGUACCUAGAUGGGUGACCGUUUGGGUAUACCAGGUGUUGUAAG